RNA transcript from Sorghum bicolor (sorghum), 1538 nucleotides. RefSeq lists it as uncharacterized. The transcript is spliced from 5 exons. NCBI's taxonomy places the organism in Eukaryota, Viridiplantae, Streptophyta, Magnoliopsida, Poales, Poaceae. The record is from RefSeq and is a predicted model, not a curated record.
UCCUCAUCUCGUAACUCCACGCGCACGAAGGAGCGAGAGGGCAGGUGCCUCCGAAAGCCCUUGCCGUUCAAAACCUUGCACGAGGGAUCAACAAUUAGGUUUUUGGGGAGCGUCUACGCGACUGCCCAAUUCACCGCUGCUGUUCGUCUUCCUCAAGCUGGUUCGGGCGGAUUUCUCCUUCCGAGUGGAAAGAUCGUCUUCAUCCUCUACAUCAUGGAAGUUGGUCAAGGAUCGGGAUCAUCGUAGCGCAUGGGAGGGCGCGCGUUCACGCCGCCACUAGCACCGCCGGUCGCGCUCACGUGUGGCCAGCCCGAUCGGAGGAUGCCGUGGGCGCGUUCGACAACGGUGGCGUCGCGUGCAGGGUGGCCGCCAUAUACAGGAGCUCCUUCUCCUUUGCGCCUGGAAAAACAAGUGACGAACGUCUACUGUGGCUUCAUUGCCUGCGAUGAUGCCGUGCAGCGCAAAUUUGCCGCUGCCGCCACCGCCAUUAUCCUCGUCGUCGACACCAUCGUGCUGGUGAAGAUUAAUAACCUUUCAGUUUUCAACAUGAUCAAAGCACCGUCUACCAACAAAGCACGGAUGUUCUAUCUUUUUGUCAAGGAGCAGCACAGGAGGGAUGUGUCCUCAUUUGUAGUUUUGAUUCAGAUUGUGUUGCUCUCUUUCUAGGGUUUGUGAGUUGGCUAGAUUUGGAAAAGUCGAAGAAAACAUAACGGUUAACCAAGAACACUUGUGGCAUAUAUGAUACUAUAUAUGGCCAAUUCUUUUAGAGUUAGCUUUGAGGAUUUACCUAAAUUAAGUGAAGUUGAUGCUAUUUUUUUUUAAAAAAAUAUAGUCAAAUGAUGCUUGCUUUUUUUCAAAUACGUAGGAUAACUGAUUCUAUAUGGUUUGCUCUCGUUUUCUUAAUUUCCAUGUGGACUUCGGGCUUGCAAGAUAGUAGCUGGACAGCAAUACCGGAAGAAGUUGGAUGGCCACCAGGUCUCUAAACUGAUGGACUCAACAUGCCAGCGUCCAUCUGUCUGUGAGGACAACAUUCGUCAGGUGCUUGCUAUUUCUCCAUAAUUUUUCUGUUUUAUUUGAUCUAAAUUGUGGGCAAAUACAAAUAAUUUGCAACAAAUGUCUGUAUAUAAUUAAUUAAAUGGUGAACUCUAAAGUGUAAUUCAAAAUUGGACCAGCAACUGCAUUUUUUUCUAUAGGUCGGUGGAUGACUCGACAAAGAAAGCAACAAGUUGAUUUUGAUGCGCGGAACAUUUUUUGACUGCGCAAGGUGUCUAAUUUCUGGGGAAAGAUAAAUCAUGACAGAAAGUACUGUUGACUGAUUUUUUAUGAGAGAAAAAUAUUACUGAAUGACUACCAGAUUUGGUUGGAGUCUGAUGGAGGGGAAAACAAGGGUUUUAAACAUGGGACCAAUUGCCAACAAGUAAACGAGCUAAGGCCAGUCUCAAUGGAGAGUUUCAUAUCAUUGUUUUCAAGGUUGCCAUGUCAUGUGAAAUGAAAUAAAACUUGGAUGAAACACCCACUCUCAAUAGAGAGUUCCAUUC